GAUGAAGAACGUAGCGAAAUGCGAUACGUAAUGUGAAUUGCAUAAUUCAGUGAAUCAUCGAAUCUUUGAACGCACAUUGCGCCCCUUGGUAUCCCGAGGGGCAUGCCUGUUCGAGCGUCAUUUCACCACUCAAGCCUGGCUUGGUGUUGGGCGACGUCCCCUUUGGGGACGCGCCUCGAAACGCUCGGCGGCGUGGCACCGGCUUUAAGCGUAGCAGAAUCUUUCGCUUUGGAAGUCGGGGCCCCGUCUGCCGGAAGACCUACUCGCAAGGUUGACCUCGGAUCAGGCAGGGAUACCCGCUGAACUUAAGCAUAUCAAUAAGCGGAGGA
RNAcentral lists this unclassified non-coding RNA (329 nucleotides) under soil metagenome. Its description in RNAcentral is "partial contains 5.8S ribosomal RNA, internal transcribed spacer 2, and large subunit ribosomal RNA". The stretch from base 1 to 120 matches the Rfam family "5.8S ribosomal RNA", at positions 35 to 154 of the family's 154-position model. The record is from RNAcentral.